RNAcentral lists this ribosomal RNA (396 nucleotides) under Triticum aestivum (bread wheat). RNAcentral's name for it is "partial small subunit ribosomal RNA". The record is from RNAcentral. Lineage: Eukaryota; Viridiplantae; Streptophyta; Magnoliopsida; Poales; Poaceae.
AUGGCCGCCUUCGAUGCCAACUACGACUCUCAGUUGGACCAAAUGAUCGUUGCCACCACCAACAAGUUCACCGUCCUCAAGAAGCUCGCGGACGACAUCACCGUACUCCUCCAGCCCGCACGCCCGGGCUCCUCAUUGCCUACCACCCUAAUCGGCCUCCAUGUCCGGAACCUCUUUCAAGCACUGGUGGCCCUGCGACUGCCCGCCGACGCCACAAAGAAUGGCCACCUGGAGGUCGCGGUCGCCGCGAGGUGCCUCGCCCUACAAGAAUUCAUCGACCUACACAUCCACACUGAUCAAUUGAAAGUGAAGUGGGGUAUUUCGCCCAAUUCUGCGAGUGUCGUGUUCUCCACAGGGACUAGGCGACGACAACAAUGCUCGGCUAAAGCUAGGUGA